AUGUUCGUGGUCAGCGAGCCAUUUGAGGACCCCCUGGUUGUGACGGUGGAGGAGAAGGUUGGCGCCGGGAGGGACGAGCCCAUCGGCCGUGUUAUCAUCCCCGUGGCGUCCCCGUACGUGUCGCGCAACGACCUGGUCAAGUCGGUGCCGUCAAAAUGGUUCACCCUAUGGCGCGUCAUGACGGUGGAUGCGGCAGCGGCGGACAUCACGACGGGGAUCAAGCACCGAGAGCACUCCAAGACGUUCGGACGCGGCUCGUCUGCCGUGCCUUCACGCACGGCAGAACUGCCGUACGGGCCACAAUCGGCCGUUCGUUCACUGCUUUCUCAUCCAACGGACCUCUGCUACCCCACCAACUUGCUUGUUUCACUAUACUCUGAAUCUGCUCGCGCCAAAAAUUGUAGCAGUGAGGAUGUAAGGUCAUCACCGCAUGGGUUAGAAAAGUAG
RNAcentral lists this ribosomal RNA (447 nucleotides) under Triticum aestivum (bread wheat). Its description in RNAcentral is "partial small subunit ribosomal RNA". Lineage: Eukaryota; Viridiplantae; Streptophyta; Magnoliopsida; Poales; Poaceae. The record is from RNAcentral.